UUGCUGUGAUGUUUCAAACACUGUUUUAAUUUGUUUCCUUGUCAAUCAAUCUUGUUGUCCAACAAUGUUUCAUAGCGGCCCUUCUAUAGGUCAGUGACUAAGUGUACCUUUUGGCCAAAAGAAGAGGAACAAUGCCGAAACGUCACACAUGGUAUGGCAGAACUUGCAUCUUAUUCCUUCUACACCCGAUUAAUACAUUUUUUAUUUACUUAAACCACUACAAUGUCAAAUCUUCAACAUAAUGGCAACUUGAGAAAUGCUCCUGCGAAGAGUGUCCUUGAUGUGGUGAUAUAGAUAUUGGCAAAUAGUGGUGUAUCAAGUCGACUGAGUGAUCCAGUAAUAGCUAAAAAUUUCUCAUUAUUAAUUGAUAUUAAUGGUAUUAAAGAUGACAUUAAAGAAUUUUCAAGGUCUGAAUGCUAUAAAAAUUUGUAGAAGUAAAUAUUUCCUUUUAAUAAAACUAUUAAAUAACUUA
This is a long non-coding RNA of Sipha flava (yellow sugarcane aphid), 472 nucleotides long. RefSeq lists it as uncharacterized. Lineage: Eukaryota; Metazoa; Arthropoda; Insecta; Hemiptera; Aphididae. The record is from RefSeq and is a predicted model, not a curated record. The transcript is spliced from 2 exons.